AGCGAACGCUGGCGGCAGGCCUAACACAUGCAAGUCGAACGAACCUUUCGGGGUUAGUGGCGGACGGGUGAGUAACACGUGGGAACGUGCCUUUAGGUUCGGAAUAACUCAGGGAAACUUGUGCUAAUACCGAAUGUGCCCUUCGGGGGAAAGAUUUAUCGCCUUUAGAGCGGCCCGCGUCUGAUUUGCUAGUUGGUUGAGGUAAUGGCUCACCAAGGCGACGAUCAGUAGCUGGUCUGAGAGGAUGAUCAGCCACAUUGGGACUGAGACACGGCCCAAACUCCUACGGGAGGCAGCAGUGGGGAAUCUUGCGCAAUGGGCGAAAGCCUGACGCAGCCAUGCCGCGUGAAUGAUGAAGGUCUUAGGAUUGUAAAAUUCUUUCACCGGGGACGAUAAUGACGGUAUCCGGAGAAGAAGCCCCGGCUAACUUCGUG
RNAcentral lists this ribosomal RNA (434 nucleotides) under uncultured bacterium. RNAcentral describes it as "partial 16S ribosomal RNA". It matches the Rfam family "Bacterial small subunit ribosomal RNA", at positions 29 to 507 of the family's 1533-position model. The record is from RNAcentral.